This 2604-nucleotide long non-coding RNA is filed under the name Homo sapiens (human). RNAcentral describes it as "uncharacterized LOC105375690, transcript variant 4 (LOC105375690)". The record is from RNAcentral. Lineage: Eukaryota; Metazoa; Chordata; Mammalia; Primates; Hominidae.
ACUCGCCGAGGGGGAGGGGCUGGAAGAUGGCGGCGGACGCACACCCACCCGACCGCGACAGAGCUUAGGCCCCUAGCCCGCGCCGCCGCCCGCUGCUCGCAGCCACUGUGGGCAGCCCUGCUCUGUCCCGCGUUGCUGGUAGAGCCGCCCCGCGGAGGCGUGGGACCAGGGUGGCGUCCGCAUCCCCUGCCAGCGCGCCUUCGCCCGGGUCCGUCCAGGGAGCACCUGUGCACGGCCAUAUUGGAUUCUGUGCCCCAGUCACUGCCUCAGCGCGGCGGGAAAGGAGAGGAGUUCAACAAUUUUUAUGAAUUUCUAAUCCAACCUCAUCAUCCUAUGGGAAACAGAAGACCACCAAGAACAGCCAGCUGGUAUCUUGGCAGUAACCUCCUCCAUAUAUUUCCUUGGCCCUCAGCUUACAUCUAGCAAAAUGACUCUACUGGUUCCAGGCUUCACAUGCAUACAACAUGGUGUUGGAGGAACAGAGAUGUUUUCUCUUCCUGGUGUUUUCCCAGACAUUUCUUAGCUGGCAUUUCAAACAAGGGUCCUGAAAUUCACCCUGGUUGGGUCGUGUUCUCCCCUUCCCAUUCCCCAUCCCCACCCUCAACCGAAAAAUGAUGUAAGCAGGGGAAAUUGAAUGUACCAAUGUUUGUUUUUAAACAAGCCACAGACCCCUCCCCAACUCCCCGACUGAAGCUUGAAGUGGGAUCAGCUUUCCCUAAAGUACUUGAGCUUAUGGUAAAGCAUAUAUGUUAUCCAAGUUAAAGUCUGGACGCUGUUAGUAAUGGGAAGGCAAGUAAUGAAUGUUAGCUAUGGAGCCAACAGACAGUGUCCACUCCAUUGUCUUUAAGGCCCAACUAAAGAUAACCUCUUUACCAAUGUCGGUUUAUUUAUUCAUUUAUUUAUUCAUUGAGAUGGAGUCUCACUCUCUCACCCAAGCUGGAGUGCAGUGGAAUGAUCUCAGCUGACUGCAAUUUCUGCCUCCCAGGUUCAAGCAAUCUCCUGCUUCAGCCUCCCAAGUAGCUGGGAUUACAGGCGCACACCACCAUGCCCGGCUAAUUUUUGUAUUUUUAGUAGAGAUAGGGUUUCACCAUGUUGGCCAAGCUGGUCUCGGACACCUGACCUCAAGUGAUCUGCCUGCCUCGGCCCCCAAAGGUGUGAGCCACUGCACCUGGCUACAAUGUCAGUUUCUAUAAAAACUGCCUUGACUUGUUUUGUUUGCUUGUUUUGUUUGUUUGUGUUUUAAUUUUUAUUAUUUUUUUUUAGAGACAGGGUCUCAAUCUGUUGUCUAGGCUUGAGUGCAGUGGUGCAAUCAUAGCUCACUGAAGUGUUGGACUCCCAGGCUCAAGCAGUCCUCCCACCUCAGCCUCCCAAGUAGCUGAGACUACAGGCAUGCACCACCCUGUCUGGCUAAUUUUUUAUUUUUAGUAGAGAUGAGGUCUCACUAUGUUGCCCAAGGUGGCCUCAAACUCCUGGCCUCAAGUACUCCUGUGGCCUUAGCCUCCCAAAGCUCUGGGAUUGCAGGUAUGAGCCGCCAUGCCUGGCCUACUGUAUAUUUUAUGCAUUUGAUAUAAGUCUUGCCUCCCUAAGUAUAUUACAAGUCCCUUGAAGUUAAAGACAUUAGAUUCCUACUCAGUGCUGAGCUGCAACAGAGAGCACUCAAUGAUGGAUAAAAUAGUUUUAGCAUGCAUUCAGCGAUAUAUAUUUAGAAAGUGGAACUAGGUGGUUGAAAAAAGUGUAUAGAUGGGUGGAAGGGAAUAUUACAGCUCUUAGAAUUGUCCUAAGGUGAGAGUAACAAAUUAAGCAAUGAGUCCCUGGGUUCACUCAAGCAACUUCACUCUCUAAAACAAGAGCCCACAGAAUCCCAUUUCUGCUUUCAGAAUGAGUUUGAGGCCAAUAUUAUUUCCAUUUUUUUUCUUUUUCUUUCUUUCUUUUUUUUUUUUUUUUUUUUGAGACGGAGUUUCACUCUUGUUGCCCAGGCUGUUUUGAUCUCGGCUCACUGCAACCUCUGCCCCUGGGUUCAAGCGAUUCUCCUGUCUCAACCUCCCAAGCUGGGAUUACAAGCAUGCGCUACCACACCUGGCUAAUUUUGUAUUUUUAAUAGAGACGGGGUUUCUCUGUGUUGGUCAGGCUGGUCUCAAACUCCCAACCUCAGGUGAUCUGCCCACCUUGGCCCAGCCUCCAAUAUGAUUUUCUAAUAGCUGUGUUUGAUGAUUAUAUUUAUUCCUCCAUCAGUAGCUUUUUUAGCCUUGAAAAUAUCUAUUUAAGUUUCUUAUUUCCUUUGGAUCUAUCAAAGUGUUUUUCCCCAAGUGGCACCUGGGAAAACAUAUUCUAUUCAUUUAUUUUAUAACUGUUCCCUUGACCUCUUUAUUGCUUCCCUAUUACAACCCAAGAUGCUCUUGUAAACCUGACUUAAUAUUGGCAGUCUUCAUCCCUUGCAAAUGGAAGUGAUGACAGACCCAAUACUUUGUGUAAAAAUAUUUUGCUAUUUCUAUACAAAAUAUUUUAUUAAUGGAAACCACAUGUUAUGUAUUUUACAUAUGUUAUGACUUGAAAUUUAUGUUAUGACUUGAAAUUGGGGAAUCUGAUAUGUCUCUAAUAAUAAAG